CCUACGGGUGGCAGCAGUGAGGAAUAUUGGUCAAUGGCCGCAGGGCUGAACCAGCCAAGUCGCGUGAGGGAUGACGGUCCUAUGGAUUGUAAACCUCUUUUGUCAGGGAGCAGAGGUCCGGACGUGUCCGGGCCGGGAGAGUACCCGGAGAAAAAGCAUCGGCUAACUCCGUGCCAGCAGCCGCGGUAAUACGGAGGAUGCGAGCGUUAUCCGGAUUUAUUGGGGUUAAAGGGUGCGUAGGCGGGCAUUUAAGCCGGCGGUCAAAUGUCGGGGCUCAACCCCGGCCUGCCGUCGGAACUGGGUGCCUUGAGUGGGCGAGAAGUAUGCGGAAUGCGUGGUGUAGCGGUGAAUGCAUAGAUAUCACGCAGAACCCCGAUUGCGAAGGCAGCAUACCGGCGCCCUACUGACGCUGAGGCACGAAAGUGCGGGUAUCGAACAGGAUUAGAUACCCUAGUAGUC
Molecule: ribosomal RNA, 459 nt
Filed under: uncultured bacterium
Lineage: Bacteria
Description: partial 16S ribosomal RNA
Rfam family: Bacterial small subunit ribosomal RNA
Source: RNAcentral